RNAcentral lists this unclassified non-coding RNA (350 nucleotides) under uncultured fungus. RNAcentral's name for it is "partial contains small subunit ribosomal RNA, internal transcribed spacer 1, and 5.8S ribosomal RNA". The stretch from base 1 to 73 matches the Rfam family "Eukaryotic small subunit ribosomal RNA", at positions 1759 to 1831 of the family's 1831-position model. Lineage: Eukaryota; Fungi. The record is from RNAcentral.
GCAAACUUGGUCAUUUAGAGGAAGUAAAAGUCGUAACAAGGUUUCCGUAGGUGAACCUGCGGAAGGAUCAUUAUUGAAACAUUGUAAAGGAAAGUUGAGCUGGCCCUUCAAGGGCAAGUGCUCGCUUUUCUUUCAAUCUUCAUCCACCUGUGCACCUUUUGUAGAAAGUCUUGAGAAACAAAGGGGCCUUGUAACAGAGGUCCCUUCCAGUAUCAGGCUUUUCUAUGUUUUUACACACUCUGAAUGUAUGUCUUUGAAUGUCUUUUAUAAGGGACUUAACUGGCCCUUUUAAAAACUAUACAACUUUCAGCAACGGAUCUCUUGGCUCUCGCAUCGAUGAAGAACGCAGC